RNAcentral lists this ribosomal RNA (750 nucleotides) under Curtobacterium flaccumfaciens pv. flaccumfaciens. Its description in RNAcentral is "bacterial SSU rRNA". It matches the Rfam family "Bacterial small subunit ribosomal RNA", at positions 25 to 787 of the family's 1533-position model. The record is from RNAcentral. Lineage: Bacteria; Bacillati; Actinomycetota; Actinomycetes; Micrococcales; Microbacteriaceae.
CAGGACGAACGCUGGCGGCGUGCUUAACACAUGCAAGUCGAACGAUGAUGCCCAGCUUGCUGGGUGGAUUAGUGGCGAACGGGUGAGUAACACGUGAGUAACCUGCCCCUGACUCUGGGAUAAGCGUUGGAAACGACGUCUAAUACUGGAUAUGAUCACUGGCCGCAUGGUCUGGUGGUGGAAAGAUUUUUUGGUUGGGGAUGGACUCGCGGCCUAUCAGCUUGUUGGUGAGGUAAUGGCUCACCAAGGCGACGACGGGUAGCCGGCCUGAGAGGGUGACCGGCCACACUGGGACUGAGACACGGCCCAGACUCCUACGGGAGGCAGCAGUGGGGAAUAUUGCACAAUGGGCGAAAGCCUGAUGCAGCAACGCCGCGUGAGGGAUGACGGCCUUCGGGUUGUAAACCUCUUUUAGUAGGGAAGAAGCGAAAGUGACGGUACCUGCAGAAAAAGCACCGGCUAACUACGUGCCAGCAGCCGCGGUAAUACGUAGGGUGCAAGCGUUGUCCGGAAUUAUUGGGCGUAAAGAGCUCGUAGGCGGUUUGUCGCGUCUGCUGUGAAAUCCCGAGGCUCAACCUCGGGCUUGCAGUGGGUACGGGCAGACUAGAGUGCGGUAGGGGAGAUUGGAAUUCCUGGUGUAGCGGUGGAAUGCGCAGAUAUCAGGAGGAACACCGAUGGCGAAGGCAGAUCUCUGGGCCGUAACUGACGCUGAGGAGCGAAAGCAUGGGGAGCGAACAGGAUUAGAUACCC